Molecule: long non-coding RNA, 329 nt
Organism: Perca flavescens (yellow perch)
Lineage: Eukaryota; Metazoa; Chordata; Actinopteri; Perciformes; Percidae
Exons: 3
Source: RefSeq, a predicted model, not a curated record
UAGAACAACAACCAAUUACUUCCAAUAUGUGAGAUGCUUUUCUUUUUUUAGUUUGCAGCCAACCUCGACCAAGAUUUCAAUUGAGCAGGAGGUCACAUUGCCCACCACACCAAGGCGGAUCAUGCUAGGAAGAAGUUUGACGUCUUCCACCCAUUGGAUGGUCAGCAUUGAGGGGAAGGUCCUCUUUGAAGCUAACCAACUUAACGCCAGUGCUUUUGUCGUCUUCUUUGGCUCCUUUUAUGCGUUCAAUCUUGAAUAUCAAGAGUCAGCAUCUACUACACUGGAGUUGGUACAAGGAUCAACCCAGAUGAGGGAAGCAAGUGCAUGGC